Molecule: long non-coding RNA, 564 nt
Filed under: Pan troglodytes (chimpanzee)
Lineage: Eukaryota; Metazoa; Chordata; Mammalia; Primates; Hominidae
Description: long non-coding RNA NONPTRT007496
Source: RNAcentral
GGUGUCAACAGUGGGAUUCUCUAGCGUGACCCUGACUCACUGAAACAUGAUUUGAGAAGAAGAAUGAGAGGGCUGAGGCUGAAGAACCUUUGACUCCUGAAUGACUACCUGGUCACCUAUGGUAUGGAACUACAGGUUUUAUCUACUACAAAGGAUAUCACUUGGGAAGGAAUUUCUUGAAACUGCUCCCAAGAGAGCCAUUGGACCAUGUGGUAAACAACUCCUAGCUGAUGGAUUAUUGGGAAUAUUAACACCAUCCAGAAUGCUAUGGGGAGAAGACACAACUGGAAGCUCCAUGUGGACAAACCUCCUGGACUCUGCCCCACAUAUCUCUUCCCUUGGCUGAUUUGAAUUUUUAGAAGCUGACAGCUGACACGCCCUUCCCUCGUGCAUUUUAUCCUGGGACAAAAUGAGAAGACAUCCUUCAGUGCCCGUUCUGUAUUCCAACAAAACUACCCAUGCUAGCUGGUCUGAAGAGCCCAGUAGGAAGCUGACCCAUGGAAGAAUGCAGUUUCCACAUCCUGUUGACUUCAUCCCCUUACCAUGACCAAACAAUGACCCCAA